AUAUCCUUCCCCUUUUGCUCCUGAUUUGACUUCCUCCUUAAUUGCAGAAUGCAGAAUUCUUUUAAAGGGGAGUUUGAAUAUGUGAACACAACAGUAUGAAAUGCUGCAGCUGGAACAGCCCAUUAAUACUGGAUCUGAUGGUAUGAAUGGCCGCCAAGAUCAAUACCAGGAGAACUGCUGCCAUCCACAUCCACAGACGCAGGUUUGAAUCAAUGGGAACUUCGGAAAUCAUUGCAGACCACUAACAUCAUUGGUGUGACAGACUUCUGAUCACGAGGUGGUCCAAGGAGGAAAGAAAGAAAUUAACAGACAAAAUUCAGAUGAGAACCAGUCUUUUCCUCCUGGAGUCCAGAGAGUUACACAGGAAGCACCCACGUGCCUUCUGGCGACACAGCACUUGUCACAGUAGAUCAAACAUGUGCUUGUACAGACUUCUUAGUGACUCCUAUUCAACGCCAUAUGGCAUCCACCAGCCAGUGACCUUUUCCUGACACUGGAAGCAAAUCUGUCAACAAUCCAGAUUUUCUAAGCUUUACUUUUCUCCCUAAGUAUUGUUCAAGUAACAUCUCAAGACCUAGGAAAUUACAGCAAUCAAUUCCAUCAGGCUAGUAUCAAAUGGGAAAGGUGAGCUUGCUUAGUCCAGAUUUUUCAAUUGUGACAUAAAGACAAGCAAAUGGGUUGGUAUCCAUUGUGAGAAUGUGCGUUCCCCAGUAAUGAUCCUUGAGGAACCCCCGUAGUGCUAUGAGGUACUGUCAUAGUGACAUUAUUCCAAACAAUGAAGUAGGUCUGGGGAAGACACUCAAUCAUACAUCAACCAAGACAGCUUGGUUGGUGCUGGAUUUGGAAACAUAGGAGGUAAAUGGAAACCAAUGGUAAAAAAGAGAGAGAGAGACAAAGUCAUUAAAUAUACACUCUGUCAUUAUCCCUGGGUGUUCAAACUCACAAUCUCGA
RNAcentral lists this long non-coding RNA (951 nucleotides) under Canis lupus familiaris (dog). RNAcentral's name for it is "lncRNA (ENSCAFG00040022580.1)". Lineage: Eukaryota; Metazoa; Chordata; Mammalia; Carnivora; Canidae. The record is from RNAcentral.